RNAcentral lists this ribosomal RNA (361 nucleotides) under uncultured soil bacterium. RNAcentral describes it as "bacterial SSU rRNA". It matches the Rfam family "Bacterial small subunit ribosomal RNA", at positions 26 to 378 of the family's 1533-position model. The record is from RNAcentral.
AGAUUGAACGCUGGCGGCAUGCCUUACACAUGCAAGUCGAACGGCAGCACGGGGGCAACCCUGGUGGCGAGUGGCGAACGGGUGAGUAUGCAUCGGAACGUGCCCAGUAGUGGGGGAUAACUAGUCGAAAGAUUAGCUAAUACCGCAUACGACCUAUGGGUGAAAGCGGGGGAUUCGGCAAGGAACCUCGCGCUAUCGGAGCGGCCAUGUCUGAUUAGCUUAGUUGGACGGGUAAAGCCCACCAAGGCUUCGAUCAGUAGUCUGGUCUGAGAGGACCGACCGAGCCACACGUAGGGACUGAGACACCGGCCCAGACCUACCGUACGGGAGCAGCAGGUGGGGAAUUUAGGACAAGUCGGGC